Molecule: ribosomal RNA, 2891 nt
Filed under: Conchiformibius kuhniae
Lineage: Bacteria; Pseudomonadati; Pseudomonadota; Betaproteobacteria; Neisseriales; Neisseriaceae
Description: Bacterial large subunit ribosomal RNA
Rfam family: Bacterial large subunit ribosomal RNA
Source: Rfam by way of RNAcentral
AGUCAAGCAAACAAGUGCAUCAGGUGGAUGCCUUGGCGAUGAUAGGCGAAGAAGGACGUGUAAGCCUGCGAAAAGCGCGGAGGAGCCGGCAAAAAGGCAACGAUACCGCGAUGUCCGAAUGGGGAAACCCACACACUUUGGUGUGUAUCCCAAACCGAAUCCAUAGGUUUGGCGAAGCGAACCGGGAGAACUGAACCAUCUAAGUACCCCGAGGAAAAGAAAUCAACCGAGAUUCCGCAAGUAGUGGCGAGCGAACGCGGAAAAGCCUGUACGUGAUAUUCAUUGAGAUAGAAGAAAGACUUGGAAACGUCUGCCAUAGCGGGUGAUAGCCCCGUAUUCGAAAUCCCAUUGGAAGUACUAAGCGUACGACAAGUAAGGCGGGACACGUGAAAUCCUGUCCGAAGACGGGGGGACCAUCCUCCAAGGCUAAAUACUCAUCAUCGACCGAUAGUGAACCAGUACCGUGAGGGAAAGGCGAAAAGAACCCCGGGAGGGAGUGAAACAGAACCUGAAACCUGAUGCAUACAAACAGUGGGAGCCCCGUAUGGGGUGACUGCGUACCUUUUGUAUAAUGGGUCAACGACUUACAUUCAGUAGCGAGCUUAACCGGAUAGGGGAGGCGCAGGGAAACCGAGUCUUAAUAGGGCGCCAAGUUGCUGGGUGUAGACCCGAAACCGAGUGAUCUAUCCAUGGUAAGGAUGAAGGUGCGGUAACACGCACUGGAGGUCCGAACCCACGCAUGUUGCAAAAUGCGGGGAUGAGCUGUGGAUAGGGGUGAAAGGCUAAACAAACUCGGAGAUAGCUGGUUCUCCCCGAAAACUAUUUAGGUAGUGCCUCAUGUAUCACUUCCGGGGGUAAAGCACUGUUAUGGCUAGGGGGUCAUUGCGACUUACCAACCCAUGGCAAACUCAGAAUACCGGAAAGUGCAAUCAUGGGAGACAGACAGCGGGUGCUAACGUCCGUUGUCAAGAGGAAACAACCCAGACCGCCGGCUAAGGUCCCAAAUGACAGAUUAAGUGGUAAACGAAGUGGGAAGGCACAGACAGCCAGGAUGUUGGCUUAGAAGCAGCCAUCAUUUAAAGAAAGCGUAAUAGCUCACUGGUCGAGUCUUCCUGCGCGGAAGAUGUAACGGGGCUCAAAUCUGUAACCGAAGCCGCGGAUGCGUUUUUACGCAUGGUAGGGGAGCGUUCUGUAAGCCUGCGAAGGCAGACUGUAAAGUCUGCUGGAGGUAUCAGAAGUGCGAAUGUUGACAUGAGUAGCGAUAAAGCGGGUGAAAAGCCCGCUCGCCGAAAGCCCAAGGUUUCCUACGCAACGUUCAUCGGCGUAGGGUGAGUCGGUCCCUAAGGCGAGGCAGAAAUGCGUAGCCGAUGGGAAACGGGUUAAUAUUCCCGUACUUUGAUUCAAUGCGAUGUGGGGACGGAGAAGGUUAUGCCGGCAGACUGUUGGAAUAGUCUGUUCAAGCACGUAGGUGGAAAGAGUAGGCAAAUCCGCUCUUUCUCAACACCGAGAUGCGAUAACGAGCAACCAAGGUUGCGAAGCGGCAAAUACCACGCUUCCAGGAAAAGCCACUAAGCUCCAGUUGAAUCAGAACCGUACCGCAAACCGACACAGGUGGGCAGGAUGAGAAUUCUAAGGCGCUUGAGAGAACUCGGGAGAAGGAACUCGGCAAAUUGAUACCGUAACUUCGGGAGAAGGUAUGCCCUUUCAGGUGAAGGACUCGCUCCGUAAGCCAGAGAGGCCGCAGAGAAUAGGUGGCUGCGACUGUUUAUUAAAAACACAGCACUCUGCCAACACGAAAGUGGACGUAUAGGGUGUGACGCCUGCCCGGUGCUGGAAGGUUAAUUGAAGAUGUGCAAGCAUCGGAUCGAAGCCCCAGUAAACGGCGGUACCGUAACUAUAACGGUCCUAAGGUAGCGAAAUUCCUUGUCGGGUAAGUUCCGACCCGCACGAAUGGCGUAACGAUGGUACCACACUGUCUCCUCCCGAGACUCAGCGAAGUUGAAAUGGUUGUGAAGAUGCAAUCUCCCCGCUGCUAGACGGAAAGACCCCGUGAACCUUUACUGCAGCUUUGCAUUGGACUUUGAAGUCACUUGUGUAGGAUAGGUGGGAGGCUGUGAAACAGAAACGCCAGUUUCUGCGGAGCCGUCCUUGAAAUACCACCCUGGUGGCUUUGAGGUUCUAACCCAGACCCGUCAGCCGGGUCGGGGACCGUGCAUGGUAGGCAGUUUGACUGGGGCGGUCUCCUCCCAAAGCGUAACGGAGGAAGUUCGAAGGUUACCUAGGUCCGGUCGGAAAUCGGACCGAUAGUGCAAUGGCAAAAGGUAGCUUAACUGCAAGACCAACAAGUCGAGCAGGUGCGAAAGCAGGACAUAGUGAUCCGGUGGUUCUGUAUGGAAGAGUAGCCAUCGCUCAACGGAUAAAAGGUACUCCGGGGAUAACAGGCUGAUUCCGCCCAAGAGUUCAUAUCGACGGCGGAGUUUGGCACCUCGAUGUCGGCUCAUCACAUCCUGGGGCUGUAGUCGGUCCCAAGGGUAUGGCUGUUCGCCAUUUAAAGUGGUACGUGAGCUGGGUUUAAAACGUCGUGAGACAGUUUGGUCCCUAUCUGCAGUGGGCGUUGGAAGUUUGACGGGGGCUGCUCCUAGUACGAGAGGACCGGAGUGGACGAACCUCUGGUGUACCGGUUGUGACGCCAGUCGCAUCGCCGGGUAGCUAAGUUCGGAAGGGAUAAGCGCUGAAAGCAUCUAAGCGCGAAACCCGCCUGAAGAUGAGACUUCCCCGUGGGUAUAACCCACCUGAAGGGUCGUUGGAGACCACAACGUCGAUAGGCAGGGUGUGGAAGCACAGCAAUGUGUGAAGCUAACCUGUACUAAUUGCCCGUGCGGCUUGACUCU